AUUGAACUCUGGCGGCAGGCCUAACACAUGCAAGUCGAGCGAGCGGCGGACGGGUGAGUAAUGUAUGGGGACUGCCCGAUAGAGGGGGAUAACUACUGGAAACGGUAGCUAAUACCGCAUACUAUCGGAUAACCCAUAUGGGAUUAGCUAGUAGGUGGGGUAAAGGCUAACCUAGGCGACGAUCUCUAGCUGGUCUGAGAGGAUGAUCAGCCACACUGGGACUGAGAAACGGCCCAGACUCCUACGGAGGCAGCAGUGGGGAAUAUUGCACAAUGGGGGCAAGCCUGAUGCAGCCAUGCCGCGUGUAUGAAGAAGGCCUUCGGGUUGUAAAGUAAUUUCAGUCGGGAGGCGUUACCGACAGAAGAAGCACCGGCUAACUCCGUGCCAGCAGCCGCGGUAAUUC
This 403-nucleotide ribosomal RNA is filed under the name uncultured bacterium. RNAcentral's name for it is "partial 16S ribosomal RNA". It matches the Rfam family "Bacterial small subunit ribosomal RNA", at positions 30 to 526 of the family's 1533-position model. The record is from RNAcentral.